ACUCCUACGGGAGGCAGCAGUGGGAAUAUUGGACAAUGGGCGAAAGCCUGAUCCAGCAAUGCCGCGUGUGUGAAGAAGGCCUUAGGGUUGUAAAGCACUUUCAGCAGGGAAGAAAAGCUUGGGCGUAAUACCCGCCGUCCUCGGUACCUGCAGAAGAAGCACCGGCUAACUCCGUGCCAGCAGCCGCGGUAAUACGGAGGGUGCAAGCGUUAAUCGGAAUUACUGGGCGUAAAGCGCGCGUAGGUGGUUCGGUAAGUCGGGUGUGAAAG
RNAcentral lists this ribosomal RNA (269 nucleotides) under uncultured bacterium. RNAcentral describes it as "partial 16S ribosomal RNA". It matches the Rfam family "Bacterial small subunit ribosomal RNA", at positions 335 to 600 of the family's 1533-position model. The record is from RNAcentral.